GUACAUGUAUGUGAGAAACCUUUCAGGAACAAGUUGUCUACUAUAGCCAGCCAAGCCUUUACUGCAUACAUGUGCACAUUUUUAGUUGAUGCAUCUAAAAGAUAUAGUUUUGAUUCGGUGUUUCUUUGUUUUCUUUUUAUUCAAAUAAUUUUAAAAUGUGAUGAUGUACACAACAAUAAUUAGUACCUAGUUUAGAGGAUUUUUUCGCGCUUGUUUGUAAACAACGCGCGGCAUUGUGGGAAAUAGGAAGGUACUAAAGACGCGAUGUACUAAACACUGAUUUGACCUGAUUCAAAUUUGUCUGUAAAUGUUCCAAACAAUUGAAUUUUUGUAUAGCAUAUGCCUCGAAGUCAUAAAGUCUGUACAUAAGUAAUUUAAAAUACUCAAUAUUACCAUUUAAUUAAAAAUUAAAACGUCAGAUAAAUAUCAGGUCUCUAGUAUAUCCCGUUUUUAGUGUGCCCCUUCGAGUCGACGUCGGACACAUGUUUGCCAUGGUUUACAAACUGAAAAUAGAAUGAUUUGUGAAGUUGAACAUUUUCUCACAAAGAAUCCGUUUGUAGACAUGUACACUCAUUUAAUCUGCAGAUACGAAGUACUUUGUCACUUCUCUGGAACAUUAUUCUAAGCAGAAUUAUCCCGAUUCAUAUAUUCUAAGAAUCUUGUGUGAAUUGUUUACGAGGAAAUUCUGACUGUCACAUUAACAAGGAUGAACACUCUUGACUCUGCUUCGGAUUCCCCAGUGAUAAUUGUAUCGAGUGAUGAAAGAGCUGACGGCGACAUUUUAAUGUAUGAUUGGCUUGGACCAUUGGAAUGAAGUCAUUUCAUGGUGCCACCACUUGGGAUGGUAUUAGCUGCAAAUAUAGACUUCAGUACUCAGCACUUAUUGCCUUUAAGAAGUAUGAGAUCCAUUUUGUGCUAACACCUACCGUGACACAGAAUCUUGGUUUAUGCAGUCUCAUAGGAGUAACCUGUCUAAAGCAUCAAAUUUAGCAAUGGGAUUGGAACCUGCGACGUGUGACUCAUCUGAAUACUGAAUUUUGAUACCAAGCAUGACCAUGAUUUGCCAGAAGAUCAUCUGUUUGGAUGUGACAUGGAAUAAACAGCAUAGUGAAAAUAAGUCAAGUUUUGGUUUUUGAAGACAAUUUUUAAACACACUGUGUAUCAUUUUUAAAUUUUAAUUUGACAACAUAAAUCCACAAAUAUGAACAUAUCAAUUGCUCUCCGUUUUUCAAGUGAAAUAGUUUUUGUAACAGAAAUACAUGUACCAGUAAUUACAUUGGAAUAAAUGUUAUUUUUAAAUAUAAUAAUAUUUUGUUUGUGUAGCAUGUUGACCUCUUUAUUAAGGUCUUCUCUUUCAAAGUUUAGACUUACUUAUUCUAAUGAUUAAGAUAGAUCCUCUGUCUUCAGCAGGAAUAUAAGAUCUUGUAAUACAUGUAUGUGUAUUUUUUACAGUAUAAUGUAAAAAAAAUUGUUAUUUUGGCACACACAACUAAUUAAAGGCAUAAACAUGUGUAUGAUUCCAAGGAAUUCAGUACAUAGGGCAUGUACAUGUAGUUUUCUAAAACAAGAUUGAAGAGAUGUCCAGUCGCAUUUCAAUGUCAACUCCAAAACUGUGCCUGUUGCAUACUUAUUAGCCCAUCUGAGCUAAAGGAACCAGUAAAUUUUUUAAAAACAUAAUUUUAUCCAUUAUCAUCAUUGUCUAAAAUUUCACAAUAUCAUUUUCCAGAACCAAAGUGAAACUUGGCACAGAGCAUCCUUAGUGUAGGGGAUUCAAAUUGUUCUUAUGCAGGGCAAUACCUUCAAAGAGAUUUGUUUCUUUAAUGCUGUAAAUGUAUUAUAUUUAGCUUGUACAAUAUUUGGUGGAAAUUGACUUUUGAAUAAGUAAGCGUAGAUAUUCUUAUUUAUGUUUAUGUACAAGACUUUUAGCUUUGUACUUGAUUUAGUGAUUGCUGCAUUCUGCCAAAGCCGCUAAAAAAAAAUACACAGCCAUAUGUAAUAUGUUCACAAUAUACCUUUCAGAGAAUUUUACACUCCUAUUGAGGUACCACCAGUUGCUAGUGGAAAGCUUCAAAUUCGAAACAUACACAACACAUUUCUGUGCGUUUAUUAUAAAAGUAUUGUUCUACUUACUGAUUGCAACUAAUGAAGAU
Saccostrea cuccullata (small rock oyster) is the source of this 2150-nucleotide long non-coding RNA. RefSeq lists it as uncharacterized. The record is from RefSeq and is a predicted model, not a curated record. Lineage: Eukaryota; Metazoa; Mollusca; Bivalvia; Ostreida; Ostreidae. The transcript is spliced from 3 exons.